Molecule: transfer RNA, 73 nt
Filed under: Stegodyphus mimosarum
Lineage: Eukaryota; Metazoa; Arthropoda; Arachnida; Araneae; Eresidae
Rfam family: tRNA
About the family: Transfer RNA (tRNA) molecules are approximately 80 nucleotides in length. Their secondary structure includes four short double-helical elements and three loops (D, anti-codon, and T loops).
Source: Rfam by way of RNAcentral
GCCUUCGUAGUGUAAUAGUCAGCACACUUGCCUUGUAUUCCAUAGGUCCGAGAUUCGAGUCUCGGCGAGAGCA